RNAcentral lists this non-coding RNA (31 nucleotides) under Homo sapiens (human). Lineage: Eukaryota; Metazoa; Chordata; Mammalia; Primates; Hominidae. The record is from RNAcentral.
GCAUUCAUUCGGCAAUUACAUAUGGAGCCUU